Molecule: ribosomal RNA, 395 nt
Filed under: Actinomyces sp. F507T
Lineage: Bacteria; Bacillati; Actinomycetota; Actinomycetes; Actinomycetales; Actinomycetaceae
Description: bacterial SSU rRNA
Rfam family: Bacterial small subunit ribosomal RNA
Source: RNAcentral
AACGAUGAUGCUCCAGCUUUGUUGGGGUGGAUUAGUGGCGAACGGGUGASUAACACGUGAGUAACCUGCCCUCUUCUUUGGGAUAACGGUCGGAAACGGCUGCUAAUACUGGAUAUUCACUCAUUGGCGCAUGUUGGUGGGUGGAAAGGUUUUUCUGGUGGGGGAUGGGCUCGCGGCCUAUCAGCUUGUUGGUGGGGUGAUGGCCUACCAAGGCUUUGACGGGUAACCGGCCUGAGAGGGUGACCGGUCACAUUGGGACUGAGAUACGGCCCAGACUCCUACGGGAGGCAGCAGUGGGGAAUUUUGCACAAUGGGCGCAAGCCUGAUGCAGCGACGCCGCGUGAGGGAUGAAGGCCUUCGGGUUGUAAACCUUUUUCGCUCAUGGUCAAGCCGCA